This 2719-nucleotide long non-coding RNA is filed under the name Taeniopygia guttata (zebra finch). Its description in RNAcentral is "lncRNA (ENSTGUG00000026831.1)". The record is from RNAcentral. Lineage: Eukaryota; Metazoa; Chordata; Aves; Passeriformes; Estrildidae.
GCAAGUGGAGACUCAAGUGCUAUUGAAACCUCUGGGCUGCUGCCAGGGACCCCAGCCCGGGCAGGGGUGCUGUGCUGAGCCUUCCUUGGGGGAGCUGCUGCUCUUUGCUCCAGCCACAUCCUCAUGGGGCAGAAUUCCCCAGCUGCAGUGGAAGAGGAACCAAACAUUGGUGCAGGAGAGCAGGUGGGAUGGCUGGAGGAGGGCAGCCAGCAGUGGAAGCUCUUUCUUUCCUUGCAAUAGUAUUUAUUGGAGGGUUGGCUCCUGCCCUUUGUGGGCAGAGAAUGCCCCCCUCACAGCACGGGGCAGCAGGACAGACCCCUCAGCUUUUCCAGGAGCAGCUGGAGCCUCCUGGGCACAGUCUGGCACCACCAAGUAGCCAGAAAUUCACUCUGGUGAAUCAGGAGGAGCAAGAAGCUGAGCUCUGCUGAAUUUUCAUUGAGAAAACGUCUCAAGUGCAAGGCUGGAGAGGUUUCUCAGAAAGGUUUCCACAUUAAACUCGAUUGCCACUUCCUGAACGGCUCUUGCCAAUCUGGAACUUCUCUGGCGGGCCAGGGCAGCACUGCAAAGCUUGGCUGCUGGGUUAGGAACGUGUCUGUCUUGGCUGCUUGUAAAUACUCUAUUGUGUUGUAAAAUAGAAGAGCUCAGACGUACACUCUGUGCCAGCACUGGGUUGGGAAGGGUGAUGGGAACUAGACCACGCUGCAGCGAUGAUGGCAAAGCAGCUGUGUGGGUAUGAGAGGCUGCUUUUAGGUUGCUAAAGGGUACUCUUAAUUUAUGGGUAGUUUAUCUCUUUCCUCCUAAAUUUGUAUUAUAGCGAUGGGACACUUUGCUUAAUUUUAGUCUGUUGGCUAUAGUGUUGGUAUCUCUUUGGAAAAAAAAUCUCAAAAGUUGCUUCUUGUGUUACUGAACUGACUGUGCUGAAGGCAAAUAUGAAAUGACAGGAGCAAGAAGGGUGCUGAGCCUCUGCUUUAGAGGAGGGAGGGAGGGAGGGAGGCAGUCGAGUUCCCUCUCAAAGCCACUGUGACACCAAGACGGACCCUGAGGUAUCCCAGGCCCUUCCUGCUACCAAGACUGGAACCUUGUUUAACAAGCCAGAACAUGAAAUACCUUUGUGCCAUAAAACCUUCCUGUCAAGGCUGUGCCAGGUGCUCCCGUGACCCGUGUGGGAUGGGCUCAGAGCCGGGAGGGAGCUCAGACCUGCAGAUGAGCCCUGUGAUCCUCUGGGAGCCGGGGGCUGGCAGGAACCCCGGCCCUGCCCAGAGAGCCGCCGUCCCUCGGAGUGUCCUGUGGUCCAGGGAAAGGAACUGCUGAACGGGUUGGAAUCAAUAAAUAGUUACUGCGUUAAAUUCAACGUAAGGUUAGUUUGGUAUUUGUAUGAACUUAAUGAAUUUGGCCUUUUUAUUACCUUCUGCUUGGCUCUGUGUUCCUUCUGCUUGGAUUCUGUCCGUGAGUGUUGAUGUAAAGCCUUGACGUGUUCAGCCUCGUUAGGAGCAUCACAAGAGUGAAGCCAGUCAUCCAGCUGACUUUUGGAGGAACCUGACUGUUGAAAAGCAACUCUAAGGUUAACAGUUUUUAGCAAAUCUGCUGUCAUUAAAUGUGUAUUUCUUUUUAAAAUUAAUUUGCUUGUCCUUCUCAGAAGGAAGCACUUAUUCUUGCAGUUUGGGCAAAUUCACUGCAGCACAAUGCAAGCUGUAAGGGGACAGGUAGAGAAAUGACUUUUUAAAUAUUGUAUAAUAAAGUUAGUAUUAAUUCCUAUGGUGUUGUUGUUUUUUUGCCAACAGUUUUGCAAUCAGCCAGAAAUUCUGUUCCUGGUAGUGGUUUUGUUCCCAGUGUUCCAGCUGGUGGUGUUAAAUAGUUUCCUUUCUCAGCCCAGAAAGAUCCCUUGGGAACAGGGUCUGGUGGCUGGGAGGACCUGGAAUAGUCCUGGCAGCUAAAGAGGAGCCAUCAGUGGAGGUUAAACGUGGGCUUAGCUGAGCCCCAGCCCCUGGUCAGUCCCAGCAGCACCAGUAAAUCUUGAGCUGAGGGCUCUUUACCUGAGAGCUCUGAGCUGGACUCAACACCAAAGCUCUGUAAAUCCAGACUCUCCCAGCAGCAUUCCAACGCUUCCACCAUCCCCAUUUCCAAGUCUUUCCCCAUAACCGAGUCCCAUAAAAACUGAAGGAGAAUUUUAGAAAGGCCACUUCUAAAUCUGCAGAGGUAGAGUGUUGUUUGAGCAGGAAAAGCAUUACCUUUUGCUUUAGUUAGGGGAAUGAUUUUAUUCUUGGAGUAUCAAAACUGGUUUGCAUUUGAGGACCCUCAUGGGUGGGGGAACUGGACAUCAGCUGCAUCCAACACAGCCCAAAGCAAACGCUCUCUGCUUCACUUAAAUAAACCACAGAUAGUUUCAGUUACAUGUUAGGUGAUGUUCCAUGAAGUCUUGGGGUUUUAUUUUUUUUUCCUAGUUCAUUCUUGCUGCUCCCACCUUUCCCUCUGUGUAUCUAAGGUUCCAGAAUGCAAACAGUACUGCAGAUACCUCUUGUUUGAAAUAAAGGAUCAAAUGUGCCAUGUUUUUUUUUUUUUAAAAGGAAGAAAAAAAGAGAAAAAUCUUCCCCCUUGAUUUAUUUUUUCAGUGUUUUCAUAUCUAAGAGCCAAGCAGUGACAUGUACAGAAAAUCUUUGACUAGUAAAAAAAACCUUGCUGUGUGUCGGAUUAUUGAACAAUUAACUGUUUAUAUUAAAAU